Molecule: long non-coding RNA, 10447 nt
Organism: Serinus canaria (Common canary)
Lineage: Eukaryota; Metazoa; Chordata; Aves; Passeriformes; Fringillidae
Exons: 3
Source: RefSeq, a predicted model, not a curated record
CCAGGGAACGCCCCGAGCCACAGCCUCGCUGCCACGCACAGCUCCGAAAUUAAAAAAAAAAAAAAAAAAAAAAAAAUCCUGAAGUGCUUUUUAUUACCGCAAAUUAUCAUAUUUGGGAUUAUCAUAUUCAUCAGCUUGGCUGGCCGGGGCGUUCUGCUGUUCCUGCUGGGAUUGGUGCUGGCAGCGCUGCUCAGCUUUUCCCUGCCUCUUGUCUCAGCCUGGAAACUGGGAUUGGAAAUUAUUUUGGCCGGGGAUAAACUGGCCUAAAUAAUUUGCUUGUACAGCGCUGAGCCACAGUGGCCUCUGGGUCUCAGCUGAGCCUUCUGGAGGCUUCUAAAAAUAAGGAGUUCUAAGCUAUUAUCUUUUAAAAUACUUGGGAAAAAGAGGGGGCAAGACGAGGAUUUUUUAACAGCUGUUUUGGCCUCAAACUGCCAAGUUUUAUUUUAUUUUUUAAAUGUGUUUUCUUGAUCAGUUCUGUCCAUAGCCUUUCAUUAAAAAGGAGCUCAUAAAUUUAGGACAGGUGUUUUGUACUUCUAUAGAAAAAAUCAUUUGAAAACCACCAGUAAUUUCUAAAAUACAAGCUACCACUAAUAAAAUGAAAACUGAUCCUAAAGCCGUAUUUUUAUGCAUGAGUUGAUUACUCUUCCCAGCCUGGAAUUAUUUUGCAAACAAAUCUCAAUUAGAGAAUGAACUUUUCUAUUUUUUUUUUUCUAAGAAAAAAAUAGGCAUUGUCAUUUUUGAAGAUAUUUUGGAUUUUUUUCUUGCCUAGCUAAUUCUCAUUAAUCUCAUUAGUCCAAACACAGAUUUCUUUCCCCUUGCCAGAAUAGGAGAACUUUGUUUUGAGUGAUUCCUUUGUAGAACUCGUCAAGAAGAAAACAAAACAUUAAACACUGCAAACCAAAAGGAAUGAAAACUUUCAGCUUUGCUCAUGUACCUGCCAAUUCCUUUCCUCUUAAAAACCUCACAUAAAUCAGCUCUUUCCCAGCCUAUUUUACUCCUUUAAAGAGGGAAAAAAAAGCUGAGGAUUCUCGUUCAUCCUGCAGGAAGGGCCAGCACCUGAGGAAUGGCAAGGACUGGGCUGAAGCCUCUAAGCCAGCAUCUAACACUGAUCCUUCCCAAAAAUCCCUGAGAAAAUAAGAAUAAAUUAUCAUGGAAUGGUUUGGGCUGGAAGGGACUUUAAAUCUCAUCUUGUCUUCCACUGGCCCGGGUUGCAGCCUUAAAAUGUGGGUGGCCCAAAUUUGGGGUGCCCAGUUUGGGGUGUUUCCACCCAGAAGGGACAGAAGGUGCCAGGCUGGGGCUGGCUCCUCCUGCCCAUCCCAGCCAUGCCCAGGCUGGGCUCACCUGGCAGAGCUGAUGCCAGCGGGCACAGGGACAGGGAUGCCCCUGGCCAGGGCUGCUGCUGGCCCAGCGAUGCCAAACGAGCUGCUCAGGAAUGUUUUGAGUUUUUUUUCCUUGUUUGUUCAUUUCCCGGUGGGAAAAUGUUGCUUUGUAACACGACAAGGUUGGCAGCACUUUUAAUGGGAGGUUUUUGUGUACCCAGGGUGCAGCUCCAGGCAGCUGGGAGGUGACAGCAGGAGGGACAGCCAGGACUGUGGGACAGCCAGAAACUCUGCUCUGGCACCAGCUGGGCUCCAGGAGACUGGCUCUGUGGGACUUCUCUGGGGGAAGCAAACAGGGCUGGGCAGGGGAAUUUCUGCCCAGCAGCCCACAGGUACCAACUGCUCUGCACUGAGUCCUUCUUAUUUAAAUAAAAACAAAAAAAAAGCCAAAUCCUGGAUCUGCAUUUCAGUGUAAAGAGCGAUUGAGUCCUAAAGUGUAAACUGAAAUACUUUCUGAUCAGUCAGAAAUACUGCUGCUCCCCAGCACAUCCAAACCUUUAUCCCCACUGAGAGCUGCCUGCCAGCCUGGACACGAUCCUGCCUCUCUCAGGGCUGGGUCCUGGCAUUCACCAUGACUUCAGUUUUUACAUAAAACAUCCCAUCAGGCUCAGCUGGACAUUCAAAUGAAGCCCCUGCUGUUCCCCCUGUACCUGCAGUUGUUCCUCAGGUAAAUCCAAGAUAUUAAAUUUGAUUUCUGCCACAGAAGCUAAAAGAAACCCCAGAGCAUUCACUCCUGGUUUCUGAUUAAACAAAACCAAGUUAUUACAGCUGAAGGCAUUCAUUUUCUGACUAAAUAUUUAAGUUGGUAAUUAAUAUCCAUCCCUUUGGUGGGAAAAGAGCUGUUUGCCAGAGUUUCCCAGACUGGAUGGGACAAAUAAACUUACCAGAGUUUGGAAAACAGAGGCUUAAAUCUGUUUGUUUCCCACUAAACAUUUUGCAACGCUGCUGCCGAGAAGCAACGAGAGGAGCAGGGAGAGGAGCAGGGCAGAGGAGCAGGCAGAGGAGCAGCAAGAGGAGCAGGCAGAGGAGCAGGCAGAGGAGCAGGGCAGAGGAGCAGGGCAGAGGAGCAGGCAGAGGAGCAGCAAGAGGAGCAGGCAGAGGAGCAGCCAGAGGAGCAGGGCAGAGGAGCAGGCAGAGGAGCAGGGAGAGGAGCAGGGCAGAGGAGCAGCAAGAGGAGCAGGCAGAGGAGCAGCAAGAGGAGCAGGCAGAGGAGCAGGCAGAGGAGCAGCAAGAGGAGCAGGGCAGAGGAGCAGGCAGAGGAGCAGCAAGAGGAGCAGGCAGAGGAGCAGCCAGAGGAGCAGGCCAGAGGAGCAGGCAGAGGAGCAGCAAGAGGAGCAGCCAGAGGAGCAGGCAGAGGAGCAGGCAGUUGUCCAGGAGGAAAUCAAAGCAGCCGGGAUUGCUGGCACGGCCCCUCUGAGGGGUUUAACCAGAGCCUGGCAUGGCAGGAGGUGCCCAGGGCUCGAUCUUUGGGUGCCCAGGGCUCCCCGCAGGAGCCGCAGCCGUGCCCAGCAGAGCUCAGGUCAUGGGCAGAGCAGAUUUGCAGCGGGGAGAGGAGCUGAGCCAGGCUGGGCAGCUGGAGCCGCAGCCAAGGCAGCAGGGACAUUGCUGCCACUGCCACUGUCACUGUCCCUGCCACCGUCACUGCCACUGUCACCCCCCAAGCCCCCGGGUUAUGCAAGGACGGGCACUGAGUGCCCCCAGCCCCGCUGAGGCCACCCAGGCACCGAGCCCCCCUCCAGCCACAGCCCCUGUGCCCACGGGGAACCCGGGCAAAGCAGAAGUGUGGCUGUAAUUGGGAUUAAUCUAUUUUUAGCAGGCUGUCUGCUGCCCUAUCCACGCUCCAGCUGAGAUGUUUAAUUCUGUCCAGCUCGACUCUUUCUGCAGUGGCACCCAGGACUGAUUUUUCUUUCCUUAUAAACCUUGGAUUUGUUUGUUUGUUUGUUUUCCAAUUCAUUGUUAUUCCUUGUUUUGGUUUUUUUUUUAAAUCUUUUUUUCCCCCCUACGUACAAUAACUGGAAAAUCCAGCACUGAAGCAAUACAAAGAUUGCUGUAUUAAAAAAGUUAUACAACGUUUACUAUCAUUAUUAUUCAUUUUACUAUGGAGUUUGGAAACCUCGUCAUAGAUCAGGAAUGUGUUGUACCCUGCGCUGCACAAACAGCACAGAAGGAAAAUUGCCUCUUCCAAGCUAUAUUGGAUAAAAACACGCAGUGAUACCAAAAGGAUUUUGGUUAAACAGCAGCAGGACAAGAUGUUAAAGCCAUCCCUGAGCACCUCACCAUUUACAGACCCCGCAUUUAAAUACCUGCCGUGCGGAUCUUUAACCUUUUAUGAGGUAUUUGCAAAGGGAACUUCGAGAUUAGCACUUGGGAAAACACCCUGGAACACAGUUGGACCGACAUCAAGAGGCUCCUCCGGCCCGGGAAUGUUUGCCUUUCCCAAAUCCUCGUGCCCGUGCCGGAGCGUGACCCGCUGCCCAGGGAGCGGUGCCCUCAGCAGGGCACGGGGCAGCCAGGGCGGCUCCUCGGGCUUUUCCUGCCCACUGGGAAGAUGCUCCGCAGGGAAACCAGGCUGCCGUGCCGAGAGCUGCCCUGCAAAGCCAGCCCGGGAACGGUUCUGCGGGGUUUGGACCUUGCUGGGUUCGGACCUUGCUGGGUUCGGAUCUUGCUGGGUUCGGACCCUGCUCAGUUUGGACUCUGCCCGGUUCGGACCUGUCCGGUUCGGACCUGCCCGGUUCAGACCCUGCCCGGUUCGGACCUGCCCGGUCCGGACCUGCCCGCCCCAGCUGUGCCCCCCCCGGGCCGGGGUGACUCACGGAGCUGCGGGUGCUGAGCUGGAGCGCGGCUAUUUCCGUGCUCCCCCUGCAAUCCCUGCUCCUCCGGCUGCGCUGUCAGGCACCUCAGCACCCCCGCCGCCUCUAUUCUUAGCAGCUAAUAGCUGAAAUAAUUCCUUUUGUCUCCGCGCUGUUGGCUCCUCGCUUUCGCUGCCCCCACAGCCGCUGCCAGCGCUGGGAGGGCGGCCGGGGGUCCCGGGGGUGGGGGCAGUGUCCCUGUGCCCACCGGGAAUUCUGGUGUGGGCUGAGCAUCCCAAAUCCCCCGGCCCCGAGUCCAACACAGGCCACGGAGCGGUGCUUUGAAGCGGCCGGGAUGUUAAUGCGGUGCCACCUCUUUGAAAAGGAUCCUGGCUCUUCCAGCUGGGUUUCUUAGACUUCACCGGAAAAGUUCCAGGUUUUCAGAGGGAGGGCCAGGUUUUCACCUGCGGGCUCCCAUUUCAGUGCCUGCUCUGUGCCGAGGGCUGGGUUCUCUCCGAGAAUGCAAACGCUCCAUGCAAAUGCGGCUCCCCAAUGCCAGCAGAGCCGUGCCAGCCCAUCCCCGACAGCGCCCGGGAGCCAUCCCGCACCUCUGGCAGCGCCGGCAGAUCCCAGCACCAGCUGUUCCACACAAUUCCCUUGAAGCACCUCCCGAGGGGCACUGUGAGCCCCCCACCCCACUCUUUGUGGGGCUGUCAGCUGGGCACACCCAAACAGACCCACAGAAUCGGCUUUGGGAACUGUUUGAACUGUUUGUUUCAUUGCUCUUUAUGUGCCUGCUGCUCUUCCUCUGCUGCCUGGGACGCCAGGGAGAGCAGCAGAGUGUUCCACAUAGAACGGGUGCCCAGAGCACCCCUGGAUCCUUGGAGAUGUCCAAGGCCAGGUUGGACACUGGGGCUUGGAGCACCCUGGGACAGUGGAAGGUGUCCCUGCCCAUGGCAGGGGGUGGCACUGGCUUUAAGGUCCCUUCUAACCCAAACCAUUCUAUGAUUCUGCUGGGCUGGUAAAGAAAGGACUCACUGGCCCAUUCUGUGGAAUCCACUAAAGAACCUCAUCUGGAAAACAAUAAACCUUUGGAAAAAAAUGAAACCUGGAUAUUUGUUGUGACUCUGUCCCUCACGGAGGCUGUGUUUGUAAGGAUGAAAUAUCGCUGACAAAUCCAACAAGAGCUGCCCCACACCAGCACUUGAAAAACUGACUAUUCUGCAUUUUAAAGCAGCUUUUAAGCCUCUGGGUUGGUAAAGUGAAGAAACUUUUCCACUGCCCUGUCCACCUUUGCCCGAUUCUUUGCUCCUUCCGUUUGUGGCCAGCCCCUCCCGCGGGGAUGUGCCAAGCCUCCCUUUCCGUGGCUGAGGUCGAGGGGUUACAGAUUUACAGCUGCCCAGACUUGCUCCAGCCCAGGCAGGAAUUCGCUUGGCAUAAACGAGGCCUUUGGAUUAUUUAUCUCAGCCUUUCAGUGAAACAGGAACAUGCCCUGAUUUUAACAAUCGUGCUUCCUGCGCUGGGGGAAGGUGUGGCCGAUGGCAUUUAAACCAAAACCCGAGCCAAGGCUGACCCGGCAGGAAGCUGGAAGUGCGGGCAGGAGCACGAGGGUUUCCUUCAGCACCCAAAACACGAAGGGCCUCCCUCAGGUCAUUUUAUCACCCCCAGCAGCAAUAAUGAUGUGCACGAGGGUGAGAUUUGGGGAGUGUCAGACUCCAUUUGUUGUUGCUAUUAAGGUCAUCGCAGCGUGACAGCAGAAAAUCACACAGGAGACACCAGAGGAGUGAGGAUGAACCUUCAGGUACAGCCUGGCACAGAAGCAGGGCAAGGCCAAACUUCCUCUGGAAGCUGAGGAAUCGCUCCCUGAUCCUUUCAUGGUGCUGAGGGAACUGUCAAUGACAGCCUGGAGGGUCAAUCCCCUCCCUCCAUCCUCAAAAAAUGGUAUUUUCCCCAAAUAUCUAGCCCAAACCAUCCCAGCUGCAAGUCCUGAAAUCCUGUUAGAAUGUUCAGCACUAUAAAAACUCUUUAUUUAUUAAUCAGUACUGUAAGCACUCAGGGCCCAGCUGUGAUCAGCCAUGGGGUCAUUCCCAGUUUUGGAAGAUUCCUACCCUGCCAUUCUGAUGGUGACACUGAUCUCCCCUGUCUCACACCACAGCCAUGGAUUAUUCCCAUUUUCCAAGCCUCCUUUCUGGCCCAGGACUUUGCACCCUCAUAGGCAGUUCUUACAAAACCAAAGCUCUCCCUCCUACUUUUAAAGUCUGGAAGGAAAAGAAAAAAAGCUAAAAAAAACCCAACCCAAACCAGUUUCCACACAUGGAAAUGGGCUCCAGUCAAACCAGAAAAGCAGCCUAGAUUUUUACAGUAGAAUGUCGAAGAUGUUCGAACCAGAAAAUGCCAAAUCUUGCCCAAGAGUGUCAGAAAAUGACUUUACGUUUUUAGGCCUCAUCACUCAGUUCUGAGGGCUGAAGUUUUCCACUGCCCCAAGAUUUCUCCCAGUUGAUUGUUCCCCAGUGCAGCACAGCUCUGAGUUCUUCCUGGGAGCCUGAGUGCCACCAGCAAGUACCUAGAGCCAGGCAAAGACAGAAACACCCCAGGGCUGCUCAUUUUCAAAGGAAAGCAAACCAUAAAAUAAACGCUGCAUUUCCCCUGAAAGCAACCAGAGAGAGUCAUUUGGAAUAAAUCAAAGUUGGUUUCACCUUCCUGACGCACCACAGGCCUGACAAAAGCGGCGUGAGCCAAAAGUGAACUGCCCCAUUUCUGAGGCUCCCAGCUUUCAUCUGGCUCUGGUGUUUCAUCUCACUCUGUCAUGUCUGGAGCUCCCUGGAUCCCGAGGUGGGCUCUGCCUGCCUGCACAGCCUGGUGCAAUCCACCAGGGAGAAGUGGGAACACAGAAAAUCCGCCCUGGCCCUGCGUGCUGGGGCUCCUGAGAGAAUGGGGGUGACUGGAGCAGCACAGGCAGCUCCAGUCUCAGCAAAUCCCGGCCUGCUCGGGGGGAUGACUCAUGUCAGGAGCCUGUGCUCGCUCCCAGUCAUUAAGGAAGGAGUUAAUCCCUGCAGCUUUGGCCACAAAGUGGAUGUGUAAGGCCUGGAGUCCCAUGGGCUCGAUUGCAUAAGAAACCAUGUAUUGUGGCAUUUAGUUGAUCAUGCACUACUUCUUCUGGUCACAUGGAGGCUUGAUUUCCCCUUGCAUCAGCUACUACAGACUUUUUACAUUUCUCAUACUGGUGUCUGUUCAGUUCACCGGGGUCAUCCCCUUUGCCCCACGGCAGAGCCUGUGCUGCUCACCCAGCCCAGACCCAGGGGAUCUCACCCCAUUUUUUGUAGGAUCCUAUCACAGGAACCGGGCACUUGUAAUUUUUCUCAUUUGUGCCUGUGCGUAACAGGUGUCAUUUUCAGUGUAGUACAGACAAAUCCCAAAAUAGCUCAGGCUCUUCAGACACUGCGAGGAGAAAAAACCGUGGUUACUUCAGCUUUGGUUGUAGUGAAAAACCCAACGCUCGCAGCCGGCUCUGAAGUCAGAAUUAAAAUGGCAGACGGAGGAGUGGAGCAGGGAUCUCUCUGCAUUCCGUGUUUCCUGACGGACUGCUCCUCGCUGCUCUGUGUGUGCACAUCAACUCCCUCUCAGUGCUGCCUCUCCAUCAGCUUCCCUGAUUCCCAGGAGCUGCACCUACCACGGCUCCUCCUCCACACUUCCCGGUGCUGGCAGAGCUCUGUUCCCCUGCCGGGUGCUGGGGCUGGCCGGAGGCACCAGAGUUAUUCCAGGGAUCUGGGGGGCAGAGGCGAGGAGAGAGCGUGCAGCUGCAAAAGGCUCCUUGCCUGGGGAUGGUGCCUGCUGUGCUGAAAUGCAGAGCUGCCUGUGGACUGUCUUUGUCGGGGAUUAUUGGAUUCUGGUGACUCCAGGAGCGCAGUUAUUAGUUCCCCUGCCUACGCCGAGCAUUGUGAAUCUGUGUGUGUGAUAACACUUAUUAAUGCUGCUCAGAUGAAGAAGAUCCUAUGGCUUUCCAGCACUUUCAGCACCUUAUCUCACACCACGCAUCUGCCCAGCAGCCAAACCACGCUCAGAUCAGUGUCCUGUGGCCAGCAGAGCAGGGGCUUGUGGGGCCAGCAGUAGCCUCAUGCCCAGAAGUCCUGCCUCUGAUCACAGCAGCACCUCCUCUUAAGCUGCCUUGUGCUUCAGGGGAUCUGCCUGCUGAGGAUUUGCAGGACGUGGGCCUAAAAUAUUUUAUUUCAGGAAGUCAAGCAGUGGUUCCUGUCACAGAAACAGUUAAUCAGAAAGCACCAAUUCUCUACUGCAACGUGUGUGUGCGUGCACGUGUUUUUGUUUUUUAGAGCCAGCAAGAUUUGCUUUGGUUUUUUUAAAGCAGAAAACACCAAAAAAGUUGGCUGUGGUUUCAGCUGCUAUCGCUCGAGAUUUGUACUGCUGACUACCAAUCCUAAAAGAGUUAACCUGUAUGUAAGUAUGACUCAGAAGCAGAGAAGGAGAUGCGAGGCUGAGAGCCGGGGAGGAAGUGCAGAAACAGAGGUGAGGAACAGAAUAAUUGCCAAAAAAAGGUGCAGAGUCCAGGAGCGACGCUCCCUCCGGUCUGCCUGGCCCUGGCACCGCUGGCACGGGCUCCCUGGAAAGCUGCAGUUCCGCUCUUAUAACACAAGGAGCAGGCUGGAGAAUUUAGAGCUGCGUCACAGAGCUCAGCGAGAGAGUGAGAGAGCAAGCUCCGUCGAUAGGUCUACCAGCAACAGCCCUGCUGCAGCAAGAGGGGAGAGAGGCAGCAAGAGAGGCAGAGAGGGCUCCAGGAAGAGAAGUGGCACCAACACCACGGACUGGGCUCCUGCCACCAUCCACUGCCAUUUGCACCUCGUACUCGGGCUCGCUUGGCGUAGGAGGCUUCGCCCAUUGACGAUGCUGGAGACCCGGCGCGCUUAAUCCCACGGGGAGGGAGAGUGGGCAGACACCGAAAGGGUUAACGGGAAGGAAAAUUCUGGAACCUUCUCUUCUGCGGCGCUCCAGAGCGAGCGGAGGGCUGAGGACUGCGCAGAUGGUGCACGGGCACGGCUCCUCGGUCCGGUUCGUCUCCCUCACCGCCCAGCAAUGAAGAUGGCAACUCUGCCUGGAAGUGCUGAGGACACAGCCAGCCUUGAGCUUGGUCCUUCUGGCCGAGGAAGUCUCCCGAUUAUGCAGUGGAGUGGUCAGCACUUGUACUGUCACACCCCUUGUCCUGCACCUGGCCUUGGGCUGAUUCAUUCCUUCACUGGGAGGAUGAUGCAUCAAGCUCAGAUUCUCAGCAUGUAAAACAGGGAUUAUUUUCUCCAGGGGAGACCAGAGCCUGAUGAACCACGAGUUUCACCCCAUGAUGUGAAAAUGGAAGAGAAAAUUCAUGAUGCACACUGAGAUCUGUUUUGCUUUCUGUAAAAGCCCCAGAACUGCCUUUCUAUAGAAGGUGCAGGUUGUGAAAAAUCAGGUCUGUGGCAUCCAGGCUUGCCUUGUUCCUGCAGACUGAAGGUCUCAGGGAAGAGAGGAAGCUCCCUUUCACAGGGAAGGCAGGGAUUCCCUUUUUGUCUUUGUCUCCUAUGGAAUGUAUAAAGCAGUGUGAAGUCUGUGAAAGGCUUUGAGUUGUUCCUCUGAAAAAAGCUACAGCACUGCCACUAAAACACCUGAAAAGGAGGAAAACCACAGAAGGAUAUUGUACUUUCCCUACUAUUAUUUACUGGAAAGUGCAGACCACUGUGACAGAGCCAAGCACAGGUGACAGGAUUUGCUGCUCUCCACACUGCAGAUGUUUGAGACCAGCACUGCUUCAUUUACUCCCCUGUGAGGGUGGGGAAGGGCUGGGAUGAAAUUCCCAGAGCAGCUGUGGCUGCCCCACCCCUGGGAGUGUCCAAGGCCAGGUUGGAGCAGUCUGGGACAGUGGGAGGUGUCCCUGCCCAUGGCAGGUGUGGCACUGGGUGAGCUCUAAGGUCCCUUCCAACCCAAACCAUGCUGUGCUCCCGUUUUCCUGCCCAUGUGCACGUUCCCAGCAGGGAGCUGAGGAUCACAGCAUCCUGAACUGCUCCUUUCUCCUGCCCAGACACACUGGGAGCUUGGAAAGGAGAGCACAGACAGAUGUACCCUUCCCAAAUGUGCACCUGCACCUUGCCAAGAAGGGCUGACACCUUCUGGGGAGCUUGUGAAGGCAACAGGACAAACUCCAGGUAGCCUGGAGGAGGGGCAGCAGCACCCUAAUUAUGCUGAAGUGAAACCUGGUUUUAUCAAAACUAUAAAUAAUAAAUGAGCCAUUGGUCUUCA